AGAAGGCACACAAGACUCCUUUGUCAGAGACAAAGAAUUUUAUUAUGCACAGCAGAGUAGGCAAUGUGAUCUUCAUGUUCGUGUCAGUCCCACGGGGACAGUGUGGAGGAGCCUACAUGCAGGAUGAAAUUGGAAAAGUCAAGAGAGAUGUUAUGGUUGAAUAUUGUCAGAAGUUUAACCACCGCAUGUCUCACUAUGCUCUUCGGGGUCAGAUCAUGGCAUACUGCAAUAGCCUGAGAGAUCUUCUGGAAGAUUUUCCUACCAUCAGGGACACCUUUUUCAUGGUAGGGCAACCACAAGAGAAGAAGGGGUUGAGAGACUCCAAGGAGGGCCUCAAGGCUGACCCCAGAAGAUUUCAGCCCCGGCCACGAUGUUUGCUGUCAGCGGAUGGAAAAGUCUUCCUCAAUUGAUGGUUCAUACCCCAUUCUUCUGAAGUGCUGGUUAUGUUCAAAACUCUGCCAGAAAAGGCAGCUUUUAAAGCCUUAAAGCGAACUCUACAACUGAUAGCUCCUCUGCAUGAUAUCGUGGCCUACCUUGUCAGUUUUGCUAAGCUUGGCAAUUGUCCAGCAUGUUUUGAAUUUCCUCGAAGUCCCAACCCUUUGAGAGGUGACUGGGGAGGAACUGAGGGCAUUGCCCAUGCCCAAAUAUAUUCCAUAUUUACAUUUUACCCAGCUUUAACCAUAAGGGUCUGAGCUUCAAGAGCUGCAGAACAUGAUUGACAGCCUCCAGAGCCCCCAAGACCCUAUCCGGGUGGCCCAGGCACUCCUCCUCCGGAGGGAGGUUAUAUUUUUGCAGUUUGACGCUGCAGUAAGGCAUCUCAUCCGAAGAACAUUUUUGGCAGCUGGAAAUGUUCCUGCCUACCAGUCUGUCACAGACGGCAUGUGCCAUGGGCUACCAGCACUGAGCAACUCUCUCAGGAAGAGCAUUUUUGCCUCACAGCUCAGCCUGCCCCAGCCACUGGAUCCACGGAGCCUCCAG
Molecule: long non-coding RNA, 978 nt
Organism: Homo sapiens (human)
Lineage: Eukaryota; Metazoa; Chordata; Mammalia; Primates; Hominidae
Source: Ensembl